AGUGAACGCUGGCGGUAGGCCUAACACAUGCAAGUCGAACGGCAGCACAGUAAGAGCUUGCUCUUACGGGUGGUGAGUGGCGGACGGGUGAGGAAUACAUCGGAAUCUACUUUUUCGUGGGGGAUAACGUAGGGAAACUUACGCUAAUACCGCAUACGACCUACGGGUGAAAGCAGGGGAUCUUCGGACCUUGCGCGAUUGAAUGAGCCGAUGUCGGAUUAGCUGGUUGGCGGGGUAAAGGCCCACCAAGGCGACGAUCCGUAGCUGGUCUGAGAGGAUGAUCAGCCACACUGGAACUGAGACACGGUCCAGACUCCUACGGGAGGCAGCAGUGGGGAAUAUUGGACAAUGGGCGCAAGCCUGAUCCAGCCAUACCGCGUGGGUGAAGAAGGCCUUCGGGUUGUAAAGCCCUUUUGUUGGGAAAGAAAAGCAGCAGGUUAAUACCCCGCUGUUCUGACGGUACCCAAAGAAUAAGCACCGGCUAACUUCGUG
RNAcentral lists this ribosomal RNA (492 nucleotides) under uncultured bacterium. RNAcentral's name for it is "partial 16S ribosomal RNA". It matches the Rfam family "Bacterial small subunit ribosomal RNA", at positions 29 to 507 of the family's 1533-position model. The record is from RNAcentral.